UUUGCAGUCAGUUCUUCACUUCAAGCUUUUUCUCCUUCGAUGAAACUUAGAAACUUAUGAUAUGAAUCAAAUUUGAGAAACAAUAUUGUGGGUCUCUUCAUUUUCUUCACUAAGAGAAGGCUGCUUUGGUUCAAGACUUCAACGGUUCGUUUUUGCUGUGACUUGUGAGUUGUGAGCAUCCGUGCUGUGAGCCUGUGAGCGAUUUAGGAAAAUCCUAAUACUUCAAGUCUUCAACUCCAUGUAGAUGGAGUAGGGAUCGUUGGUUUGAGACUAAGAGAGGAGGAUGAAGUUGGUUUAUGUCUUGUUUCUAAAUGAUUUGCAGUUUUCUUUUUAAAUUUCAGACACAAGCUUUAUGUGCUUUCAGAUUCUCAAUGGUUUGUUGUAUUUCACUUUCUAAGUUUCAGAUUUAUGUACCUGCAGAUUUUAAAUAUGUAUUAGAUACACUGCAGAUUUUAAAUAGGUUUAUUACAUGUUAUUGAGCAUGUGAAA
Molecule: long non-coding RNA, 489 nt
Organism: Brassica oleracea var. oleracea
Lineage: Eukaryota; Viridiplantae; Streptophyta; Magnoliopsida; Brassicales; Brassicaceae
Exons: 3
Source: RefSeq, a predicted model, not a curated record